RNAcentral lists this ribosomal RNA (213 nucleotides) under uncultured Staphylococcus sp. RNAcentral's name for it is "partial 16S ribosomal RNA". It matches the Rfam family "Bacterial small subunit ribosomal RNA", at positions 127 to 334 of the family's 1533-position model. The record is from RNAcentral. Lineage: Bacteria; Bacillati; Bacillota; Bacilli; Caryophanales; Staphylococcaceae.
ACACUAUAAGACUGGGAUAACUUCGGGAAACCGGAGCUAAUACCGGAUAAUAUUUUGAACCGCAUGGUUCAAAAGUGAAAGACGGUCUUGCUGUCACUUAUAGAUGGAUCCGCGCUGCAUUAGCUAGUUGGUAAGGUAACGGCUUACCAAGGCAACGAUGCAUAGCCGACCUGAGGGGGUGAUCGGCCACACUGGAACUGAGACACGGUCCAG